UGGUGCCUGAUCUGUCUUCGAUCCUAUGAUUCCCUCUUCCCCCUAUUCUACCCCCACCUCCUCAACUUCCUGUCCCCCAUGUGCAUCCCUCCCGAAGCUGCGCGCUCGGUCGAAGAGGACGACCUUCCCCGAAUAGAGGAGGACCGGUCUUCGGUCAAGGGUAUACGAGUAGCUGCGCUCCCCUGCUAGAACCUCCAAACAAGCUCUCAAGAAAGCUUUUCUUAUUAUGUUCUAGAUACUUCUUGGAUCUCUCUUUAGAAUGAUCAGAUGUAAAAUCAUUUAAGAGUUGGUUUAAUUUCUUUGAGU
Molecule: non-coding RNA, 306 nt
Organism: Mesocricetus auratus (golden hamster)
Lineage: Eukaryota; Metazoa; Chordata; Mammalia; Rodentia; Cricetidae
Source: Rfam